UACGUAGGUGGCAAGCGUUAUCCGGAUUUACUGGGUGUAAAGGGCGUGUAGGCGGGGACGCAAGUCAGAUGUGAAAACCACGGGCUCAACCUGUGGCCUGCAUUUGAAACUGUGUUUCUUGAGUACUGGAGAGGCAGACGGAAUUCCUAGUGUAGCGGUGAAAUGCUUAGAGAUCAUACAGAACACCGAUUGCGAAGGCAGCUUACCAAACUAUAUCUGACGUUGAGGCACGAAAGCGUGGGUAGCAAACAGG
RNAcentral lists this ribosomal RNA (253 nucleotides) under uncultured bacterium. RNAcentral's name for it is "partial 16S ribosomal RNA". It matches the Rfam family "Bacterial small subunit ribosomal RNA", at positions 524 to 776 of the family's 1533-position model. The record is from RNAcentral.